AAUGUUGAUCACGUACAGUAGUGUCUCUUUUUUUUUCAGUUUUAUUGAACAUAGCGUUAACAUACAUAAUCCUACUCGUACCGUAGUGUCUCUUUAUUCUGAAAUCCUGUCUUUGUUGCGUCACUUCCUUUUUCCGGUGCACGCCAUUGUUGCCGCGAAAAAAUAAAGAUAGUUUGUUUUUAGCAAUGUCAACUAAAAAAGAAAGAGCGGAGAUUGGCAAAUUCGUGCGUCAUCAAUUACGAGAUAAACCAGACCUGAGCAAACUAACUUUGGGGCUUUUAAAAAGACAAUAUCUGGUCCAUGUGGGACGCGAGUCAUUAAGUCCUGAAGCGAAGGCGGUCAUGAAGCAAGUGGUUCAAGAGGAGCUUGCAAAGAUGCAGGGUAAUGACGAUGAUGAAAGCGAUUCUGAAGAAGUCGAUGAGCCCCAAAACAAAAGGAAGAGAGAAAACCAGGAUGAAGAAAGUGAGGAAGAAAUUGAAUCCAGGGGAAAAAAAAGACGAUUCACGCCUUCAACAUUAUCAUCAGAUGAAACUGGAAGUGAAGAUGAACGUCAAUCAAGAUCAUCGUCUGAAGGUAGAACGCAAGAAGUAAAAACAAUCAGUCCGAAGAGAAAUCCGGAGAAGAAAGAGGAGCUUGUGAGCGACAACUCUACAGAUGAAGAAAUGAACGAGUCAAAGAGUAAAUCUAACGAAACAGGUGCUUGUAGUAGUCCUGAGCAAAAGCUGGACAGCCAAAAGAUCACAGCAAAUGGCAAAAAAGAACAAAUAAAAAAUGCAAGCGAUGGAAGGAAGACGUCUGAAAGUGAUGCAGAGAGCAGUUCUGGAAAGAGUGAUGCAAGCGAUGGCAAGGUUUCACCUGAAAACGGUAAAUAUACAAACUUUCAUCCAUAUUACAAAUAUUUAAAUCUUUUAUUUUGUCCGUUUCUGGUAACAAAAUGA
RNAcentral lists this long non-coding RNA (938 nucleotides) under Oryzias sinensis (Chinese medaka). RNAcentral's name for it is "lncRNA (ENSOSIG00000005492.1)". The record is from RNAcentral. Lineage: Eukaryota; Metazoa; Chordata; Actinopteri; Beloniformes; Adrianichthyidae.